RNAcentral lists this long non-coding RNA (341 nucleotides) under Equus asinus (donkey). RNAcentral describes it as "lncRNA (ENSEASG00005027168.1)". Lineage: Eukaryota; Metazoa; Chordata; Mammalia; Perissodactyla; Equidae. The record is from RNAcentral.
GCAGCACUUGGGGAAGGGUAGCCAUUGUCCUUUUGCCUUCUGCCUGGGGCCAGGGCAGGGUCUGAGCAGAGGCCUCCUUGGUCACCCUGCUCAUCAGGCAGGUGUUCUGCAAAGGUUCAUCGGUCUGCCUUCAGAAUUCUCCUUCCCAUGCUCACGGCAAAUCACAGUUCAACAGGUUCUUUAUGGGGCACCUGCUGCACAAAGGAGGCUCUGAGCUGACCAUUUCUCAGGACAGAUACUAAGAUGAACAAGACAAGCCAUCCCCCAUGUGCAACCACCCCACCAUAAGCCUAGACCAGUGGUCUCCAAAGUUUUUUUGAUCGUGCUCUGUAGCAAUAAAA